GCAAGGAGACAAGGUUCGGUACAACCAAAACAAGAACAAGCGUUAAACUCAUCAUCGAAGCAAGAAAGAAGUCACUUUCUCUCUAUCGCUUGACUUUCGCCGAUCAAAUUAAAGAGAUGUGCUUCAAUCUGGGACACGGGACGAAGCUGAGGAAGCACUUGAGCAAGAAGAGAUCGUCGUCAGGAACGAGCAGCGAUCAUCACGGGGAGGACGAGAGCAAGGGACUUUUGCUCAAGGAGAUCGAGAGAUGGAACAUUCAGAAGCAGCAACAAGAGAUGAUGAUAUCCGAUCAAGAUCAAGAUCAAGAACACAAGCUCGCAAUUUCGACUUCAGCCAAACUUAUUCACAGAGAUUAGUAAUUUUCCGCUUCAGUAUUCAUUCUCACUCUAAUGUUUCGUCAUGUCACGAGCUUUUUUAUCAUCUUGAUGAGGGCCUUGACUUCUACAAAUGAAAAAGAAAAAAUGAUCAAGAAAAUGAGAAGUAUAAUUCUCCCGUUCAUUCCUAAGGAGACCGAAUAAAAACUAAUUUAAUUUGAAGGCAG
RNAcentral lists this long non-coding RNA (541 nucleotides) under Eucalyptus grandis. RNAcentral's name for it is "long non-coding RNA (EGRA_LNC005319)". Lineage: Eukaryota; Viridiplantae; Streptophyta; Magnoliopsida; Myrtales; Myrtaceae. The record is from RNAcentral.